This is a non-coding RNA of Cricetulus griseus (Chinese hamster), 540 nucleotides long. The record is from RefSeq and is a predicted model, not a curated record. Lineage: Eukaryota; Metazoa; Chordata; Mammalia; Rodentia; Cricetidae.
ACCAAUGGAAAGCAAAUCCUUAGGAAAGCUUUGAGAUCUCCUUCUGAGCUGCUGACUCAUUUCUCCCACCCAGCUUAACAUGUCCAGCAGCAGAAACCACAGAAAACAGUGGAUGAGAAUGGAAAUACAAUUAAUCCUAAGCACUGAAUAAAAUAAACAAAAGAGAAAAGCUUCCUUGGCUUAACAUGUCCUGCAGCAGAAAAUAUGAAAUACAAUGGAGGAGGAGAAAAUUACAAUUAAUCCUAAGAACUGAAUACAAGAAACAAAAGAGAAAAGCAUCCUUGGUGCAGCGCACCAGAUUUAGGUUGUUUCCGAAUUUCAAGUUCUACCAGAAAUGGAAGCACAUCAGACAGGACAACAUGGAGCCUGGUGACCUCUGAGAUGAUGUUUCCAACUGUCGUUGUGAUCACAGGUUAAAGACCCUGGAGCAGAGAGCCCAGAAGCAGCACCAUUGAUGUCUGGCUCAUUCUCUCUUUGGGACACAAAAUUGCAUCGCUCCUGCGUUGCUUCUUGCAAAUGGUACACACAGCUCUGUGACUG